RNAcentral lists this ribosomal RNA (457 nucleotides) under uncultured soil bacterium. Its description in RNAcentral is "bacterial SSU rRNA". It matches the Rfam family "Bacterial small subunit ribosomal RNA", at positions 62 to 519 of the family's 1533-position model. The record is from RNAcentral.
UGGAGCGACGAACCGGGGCUUGCCCCGGGGCAGAGCCGCGAACGGGUGAGUAACACGUGGGUUACCUGCCCUGAUGACCGGGACAACCCGUCGAAAGACGGGCUAAUACCGGAUGUGCCCGCAAGGGGAAAGGAGGCGUAAGCUUCCGCAUCGGGAUGGGCCCGCGGAGCAUUAGCUUGUUGGUGAGGUAAAAGCUCACCAAGGCUUCGAUGCUUAGCUGGUCUGAGAGGACGAUCAGCCACACUGGGACUGAGACACGGCCCAGACUCCUACGGGAGGCAGCAGUGGGGAAUCUUGCGCAAUGCACGAAAGUGUGACGCAGCAACGCCGCGUGCGGGAAGACGGCCUUCGGGUUGUAAACCGCUUUCAGUUGGGACGAAGGUUCUGCGGUUAAUACCCGUACGGACUGACGGUACCUUCAGAAGAAGCCCCGGCUAACUACGUGCCAGCAGCCGCG